UACGGAGGAUCCAAGCGUUAAUCGGAAUUACGUGGGCGUAAAGCGUGCGCAGGCGGUUUGUUAAGCGAGAUGUGAAAGCCCCCGGGCUCAACCUGGGAAUUGCAUUUCGAACUGGUAAACUAGAGUCUUGUAGAGGGGGUAGAAUUCCAGGUGUAGCGGUGAAAUGCGUAGAGAUCUGGAGGAAUACCGGUUGGCGAAGGCGGCCCCCCUGGACAAAGACUGACGCUCAGGCACGAAAGCGUGGGGAGCAAACAGGAUUAGAUACCCGGGUAGU
This 274-nucleotide ribosomal RNA is filed under the name uncultured bacterium. RNAcentral's name for it is "partial 16S ribosomal RNA". It matches the Rfam family "Bacterial small subunit ribosomal RNA", at positions 524 to 794 of the family's 1533-position model. The record is from RNAcentral.